This 380-nucleotide ribosomal RNA is filed under the name uncultured Bacteroides sp. Its description in RNAcentral is "bacterial SSU rRNA". It matches the Rfam family "Bacterial small subunit ribosomal RNA", at positions 45 to 414 of the family's 1533-position model. The record is from RNAcentral. Lineage: Bacteria; Pseudomonadati; Bacteroidota; Bacteroidia; Bacteroidales; Bacteroidaceae.
GGCUUAACACAUGCAAGUCGAGGGGCAGCAUGGUCUUAGCUUGCUAAGGCUGAUGGCGACCGGCGCACGGGUGAGUAACACGUAUCCAACCUGCCGUCUACUCUUGGCCAGCCUUCUGAAAGGAAGAUUAAUCCAGGAUGGCAUCAUGAGUUCACAUGUCCGCAUGAUUAAAGGUAUUUUCCGGUAGACGAUGGGGAUGCGUUCCAUUAGAUAGUAGGCGGGGUAACGGCCCACCUAGUCAACGAUGGAUAGGGGUUCUGAGAGGAAGGUCCCCCACAUUGGAACUGAGACACGGUCCAAACUCCUACGGGAGGCAGCAGUGAGGAAUAUUGGUCAAUGGGCGAUGGCCUGAACCAGCCAAGUAGCGUGAAGGAUGACGG